CUUUUGGAAAGCACAGAUCUCAUCAUUUGGACGAGUAGAUGCCCAACAGCAUCAUGAAUGUCAAGUGCACCAUACCACGCCUCGUUAGAUUUUUCAACUGCAAAGAUGCCUCUUGACAAUGCACAGUGCACUCCCGUCGGGCCUCAAGAUAAGAGGCAGCGGUGGUUUGCAUUCGGAGAUAUCGCCUGGGAAGGCCAACAUGAAGCAUCAAUAGAUCUGCUUGCCAUUUCUGUAGGAGAAGCUACUAGAUCAUCGCAAAAAAAAAAAAAAAGGUGCAGCGCUAGGAGUUAGAGCAACACUACAGAUAACACACGCCCUUGAUCCCUUGUUAUGUACCAGCUAGAUAAAUCAGUUGCCUGUUGGAGCCAGCUAUGGUUUUUCACGACUAGCAAAGGUAUGGAAACACACUGUUAGCUUCCUGUGCAAGCUAUUAGUAUUAUAUCAUAUACACAUAACAUAUGCCUUUGUUACAUGCCAGCUAGAGAAAUCUGUUGGAGCCUUAGUGUGCAACAUUCAUGGAAGAAGAAAAGAAAAUAGUUGUUGCCAAAUAGCAGCUAACGCGAUAGUGAUUACUAUAUGAUUAUCACUAAUAAUGCUGUCUGAUUCAGCAUGUGCUGCAGGUAGAUUAGCAUCUCUUGGCACCAAGGGUAACUGAGUAAAGACUAUCGUGACAAAAUGUUCUUCAGCAAUCAGCAUAAUCCUCAGGAGAACUCUCAAUUCAGGCAUGUAGCGGUACUGCAAGAAAAUGAGACAUCCAAAAGAGAAUGAAUCUUGAGAGGCUCUAUGAGUGACAUUGUCCGUGCUAUGGCGUAACUCGUAAGCCAGAAGGAAGAUCAGUAUAGCAGUCCUGGCGCACAAGGAGUCCAGAAGGUACAUAAUUAGUAAUUAUUUACAACCCAAUAAUCAUAGUGUAUAUAUGGCUUCAAUGGUUAGCAUGAGUAUUUAGAAUGUAUUAGUCAAUGCAAUAUCCCGUUUAUAUUUUCCUCCCAUAUUCAGUGAAGCCAAGAGAUAAUAUUGCUAAAAACCAAUUCAGAUACAACUAGGGUGGAGUACAAUAUUAGAAUGAAAACACUAAAUGGACUAUAUUUUUCCAGUUUAAUUAGAGCCAGUUCUCACUGUUGUCUGAGUCCAGCCUAAUCCGUGGUCGGUUUGAUUUAUCCCCCCAACGUCAUCCUGAUGUCAUGAACGCCUUUAAUCUGAAAUAGGUGUGGUUUAAAAGAUAGUAUAUUGGACGAUCCACUGCCAAAGACAGAUAGGCGAGCAUGCCACUGCAGUACUAAAAGCAAUUGUCCGUUCUCCCAGGUUCUCCAAACUGCAUCCAGUGCUUCCUCUACAAUUUUUCAACUACAGAUCACCAAAAGAAAAGUACUACAUACUAGUGCAAAACCUGACAAAAUGCUGACAGUGCAGGGUCUAUCUGUCAUUUUCAAGGUUUGAGAAAGCAUAGGAAUGUAAAUGUUUGUGUGAAGAGCACGAAUGCAUGACUAAAUGCAUGAACAAUAGAAUGUUCCCUAUAGUAGGGGAGUAAUACACAAAUAGGCUACAAGAGGAAAUUCUUUGUAUAUCUCACCUUGUUGACUGAGAGAAGACACCACCAAACAGCAAGUGAGCAAUCCCGUUACAUUUCUAUAUACAACCAUUCUGGUAGAUCUUUAUAUUGAACUGAACAAAGAGUUCCACAAAUGGAAGCAGCAGAGAUAACUAUGCCAAUUGCUUCAACUCUCUCAUGCAAUAAGCAGGUCAGUUGUCUUGCUGAAAAAAAGUGAUGGAUAGAAUGCUGGCCUAAAAAUUGAUUUGGAAUAGAAGAUCAACUACAUAACUGCUAUCCAUCUUAUCCAGCAACGCAUCUCCAGGAAUAUUCUGUUAUUUGACGUACACAUAAUUUAGCGUACGCAUUUAAUAAUCACAACAUGGACUGUGCAUUAUCGUGAUUGUAUGACAUUGUACGAUUUUAGGCAGUUAAUAUAUAUACCUGUCCUGCUUCAUAUCAGCCUGAACAUCUGUUUUAACCUCAAUGUAUUCCCAGCACCUCUAAUGGAGUAAUGGGCCCUGCCUGUAAAAUUACUAAAUCAUGAAAUCUUAUUAUGGGAAUGCAAUUAAGAACAAAAUAUCAAGGACAAGCAAAAAAAUUAGGUGGUCAUAUCUCUGAUAGUGCACUCCAUAUAGCAAUGCAGAAACAAUUUGCAACUCUAAUCUUAAGUUUUAAAGGAUGAGAUGACCAUUUUGAUCGCCGCAGCCUAUGAUUGAUAGGAAGCAGCAGUAAAAUAUCCCCCUUUUCAGUUACUUAAGAAACAUGAUCAUUUGGCAUUAAUCAAUAAGAAACAUCAAUUGACGGUAAUGGCAAAUUAAUAUGUUAAACUACAAUUGGUAGCUAUACGCUGUUGUAGAACACAUUAAGAAGGCACACAGAAGGUGGCAAAUACAUAGCAGCCAUUGUAUCUGGGAACAGAGAGAUGGUGACAAGAAAGAGGAGGAAAGCCAAGCAUGCAGAUACUCAUUUAUGAUUUAUCACUACUGUGAUAUAUCUGUUCUUAAUACAACUACAUCGAGAAAGAAAUUUGCUUAUGAACCAAAUAUGCCAGUUAUGCAUGUUGUGAUCAAAUCUAGUUCCAUGUACUCAACAAAUUCACGGACAUGAAAUAUCAUAACACAUCAAGCAUCCAGCCAUCAAAAUAUGCAUUGAUUUCAUUCAAUCCAUGCAUCAUGAACUAUCGUGUAUUCAAACAGAAACAAAAAUAGAAGCAAAGAGCAUUAAGUUAGAUAAAGAAACCUGAGGAUUCGAGGUUGGUUCAAACAUCUCCUCUCCAGGCGUUAAGUCGAACCAGAUCUAAGUUGUUCUCACUGGGAUCUUCGGUAGGCGACGGUAUAAAGUGCAGCUGGCGGCGCUAGGAGAGAUGGGGCUGGUGGUUGUGCAUCAGAGUGCUGGUGGAGAGUGCACUCUAUAUGGAGGCUCACCAAAAUUUCAAUCAGUCAAGAUCAACGUGAACAACGGAAAAUGAUCAAUCUGCACUUGCGUUGAGACACAAUGAGAAAAGAAACAAUAUGCUAAUAAAACCACUCAAGCAUGUCUACUAAGAAUAGUGCACACAACGUCACAAACAAGAUGCCCAAUAUUUCUUCCAUUAGCAAUAUAUAAUAGAUUAACCUAUGUGCUUUGACUGCACGCAAUAAAAAAAUGACCUCAUCAAAUAAGAAAACAGAUGUACCAAUGUAUUGGUGUUUCACUUUUAUUUUGAAGAAGAUAUUUUGAAAUUUUCAGCAUACAGUUGAAGAAACAAAAUCAUAAACAAUAAAUGGAGAAUAUCUUAAAGAAAACUGAAGAACUAACCUAAAGUUGAGCUACCUCUCAAAACUUCAAGUAUUGUGUACAAAUAGAAGACAAUAUACACAUGUAACACAUUGCUUACAGGCAAAGGUUCCAAAAUAUCAGAGCCAACCAACCAAGAUAACUAAAACACAGCAACUCAUCUGUGUUGAAGGGUUACAGAAAAGUGUUCCUCCGCAAGAUAAACCAAGAAACUAAAUGUAUUUUAGUGGUUUGUUUCAAUUUUUCUACAGAGAAAUAUAUUCUGUGCAUUUCCACUAUGAAGUACAGGUUGCUAAGGACAACUACACAAACAGUUAUAUCUACUUGUCACACUUAAGAGUACAAACCAGGUUCAUAAUUCAACCACUAUCUCUUGAUGUGUGCUUAGCCAACAAUUCUAGCAGCCUUUGUUGCUCUCGUUUAGAUAUUCCAGGAUGAAGCUCAGGGAGGUUGCUGAUGAAUGAUUUGCCAUCAGCUAUCCUACCAUGGCUGCAGUACUCCUGAAGUAUUGUAUUGUAAGUUCUCUCAUUGGGCUUGCAACCAUGAGUAACCAUAUAACGUACUAAAUCUAUAGCUUCUUCAAACAUUGAAUUGGCCACGUAACUCUUGACAAAAAUAUUGUAUGUCACAAUAUCUGGUACCAGACCCGAACAUUUCAUCUCAGAGAACAAUCUUGAGGCUUCUUUCAUCUGCCCUUUUCUUCCAUACGCAUAGAUCAUAGUGUUAUAAGAGUAUCGAUCAGGACGCGCACGACUUGACUUGAUCUCAGUGAGGAUAUUUUCACACUUCUCACAAUCACCUAAACGAGAAUACAUAUGCAUCAAGCUGUUGUACGUUGCGGUGCUGAGGUUGAUAGAACUUUCCUUCAUGAGUGAAAGAAUCUCCUCCACCUUCUUAACCAUCCCAUUUUUCCCAUAUAUGGAAAUCAUGGCAUUCAGAACGUUAAUGUCCAGAGAGCACCGCCUCCUCCUCAGUUCCAAGAACGCCUUUUCUGUGUCGGAUAAGUUAUUAACUUUGCUAUUUACCAACACCAAUGUUUUCACUAGCCCGUUGUGUGACUCUAUCCUCUCUGCAUAAAUAUCUUCGGACAAAGAUUUCAUUUUGUCCAACUUCUUUGCAUUAGCAUAUGCAUGAAGCAGUGAAGAGUAACUAAGCUCAUCAGGCCUAGAAUCCAGAUUCUCCAUCUCAGCGAACAACUUUUCUGCCUGCUCCCAACGCCCACCACGAGCUAGUGCAGAUAGAACAGCAUUAUAUGUCGAAAUGUCAGGAUGUAUACCAGCUUCAAUCAUCCUUUUGUAUAUCUCCAUUGCUUGGUCAAACAAGCCACAUCUACUAUAUGAACUAAUGAGUGAAACAUAUGUGUCCCGCUCAGGAACAUAACCAGAUUUCUUCAUCUCCUUAAAUACUCCAGACACCUCAGUGUCUAACCCAUUCUGUCCAAACACAGCUAAGAGCGUGUUCCAGGUCACAACAUCUGGCACAAACCCAGCAGACCUGAUCUCAUCAAACACAAUCAUCAUCUCUGGGAACUUUCCCCUCACACCAUGCAGCUUGAUCAAUGCAUUGUACGUGCACAGAUUCGGCUUACAUCCAUUCCUCAACAUUUCAUUAUAUGUCCCGAUUGCUGCAUCAAUUUUGCCAGCCCUGUCAAGACCAGAAACCAAUGUCGUGUAUGUAAUGACAUCCGGCUCAAUCCCCUUAACCUCCAUCUCCUCUUUGAGCUGUGUCGCCUCUUCCAACAGACCGUCCUUCACAUACGACGAAAUGAGCGAAUUGUAGGUCACUACACUGGGUGGACAGCCCCCUUGCUCCAUCUCUUUGAGCACGCCGAUUGCCUCAUCAUACCUCCGAGCCUUACCAUACACAUCGAGCAGAGAAUUGAGCGUGACCUUGUCAGGUUCGAACCCAGCAGCCCUCAUUUCAUCGAACACCUUUGCUGCCUCCUUGUAGAGUGCCCUCCGACGGCAACAGCUAAUGAGCGUGUUGUAUGUGUACCUGUCCAGCGGAAUUCCGUCCUUCCUCAUGGAGUCCACGAGUGCUAGCACCUCCUUCCACGGAACAGCAAUCUUGGAGUAGACAUGGAGCACGACGUUGUAGGUGACGAGGGCGGGACAGACGCCGUUAGCGACCAUACGGCGGAACACGGCAACCGCGUCCCUGAACCGGCUGGCGCGGGAGAGCGCUGAGAUGAGGGCCGUGUAGGCGCUGGCGUCGGGGUCCGGCGCGGCAUCGAGGAGCGCGGAGGCGUCAGCAAGGCGACCGGCACGCGCGAGGACGCGGAUGGCUGUGGGGAGGACGCGGGGAUGGUGGAGGACGCGCUCGCCGUGGAGGUCCCGCGCGGCGUGGAUGGCAGCGAGGGCGACGCCGGGCCGGCCGCGGGAGGCGAGGGCGCUGAGCACGGCGGCGAGGUCGGCGGCCGGGAGCGCGGAGAGAACGUCGCGCGGGGAGGCACGGUCGGGGGCGUCCGACAGGAGGGAGAGGAGCGCGCGCCGCGCCGGGAGGGAGAGGGAGGGCGGCAGGUUCCAGGCUUGCCCACUGCCGCCGCCGCGGCGAGUAGGGUCGUGGGGGCGUCCGAGCCGCGGGGUGCGGGAGGAGGAGGUGGGGGUGGGGCGGGAGGAGGAUAGGAGGGAGGCUGGGGAGAAGAGGCGGGGAGGGGAGUGCGCGGGAGGAUGGUGGCUCAUGGUCGGCGGGGCGGGCGCUCGGAGAGGGAGCGGGAAGACGAUGGUUUCGGCCAUGGCGGGUGUGGGUGGUUGGCUGCGGGGGUUUAGGGGUUAUGGCCGUUGGCUUGGCACCGGCGCGGCCGCUCGUGGAGAAGAUGACUGGAUAUGGGAUAAUGCGGAACUGCGGGUGGCAGUUGGGCCCUCGGCAUAUGAAGACCUUCGAUUUUCAGGGGCGGCCUGUGAAGACCUGAGAGUGGUCUCGUAGACUGGUAGAUUGGGACCAUUGGGUUCAGUCUAUUGGCCCAAAAAUACCAGGGACAGAACGUCUGGGCCAAGAUCAAAAAGCCUAUAUAUCGCCGGCUACGGUUCUGUGUUUCUGUCUUCCUUCAAAGCAUAAUUUUUCCCUCAAAAAAAGAAGAAGCUACAAAGCAUAAUUAACAAAAAAAUGUUUCACUCACUAUGGGUUCAUUAAUCUAGUUUGGGCCAGACAUGGCUCAACCUUCUCGAUGAGAUGUCCUUGUACUAAAUUGAAGCCUCGAGGUGGAGGAUAGUCUAUGAGACGACUAUUUCUUUAACUCAUGGGCCUCUUUUUCUGACCGUCCACGCUACUGCCCUCACGCAAUGUAUACAGUCAAAAGCCUGAACUGAUGACAUGAAUGCAUGGGAUUGAGACCCCAUGCCCGAAGCUUCCAAGCCAUGCUACUGUAGUACCUGUACCAGGAGAUAGAUAAAGCGCAGACGUCACGUCCUCCUGGCCGUCGUGACCACGUAAAAGUUGUAGACCGGUCGAUGCAAGUGCAAAUGCACCCAUGACUUGCCAAGAAACGCCGCAGCCGACCGACGGAUCACCACGAGAGCGUAGUCAUACCGGCCCAUAAAUGAGCCGAAAGCGGCCAAAGCCCACCACCCGUUGCUUGCUGAUGCCCCGUGACCGGUGACCCGCGUCGGAGGUCAAUGAGGCGCGCACGAAGGUCCCGUCGCAUCCGACUCGGCACGAGACAAACGAGACGUGGAUCGGUGCGAAGUGCUGCAGCUGAUGGCAGGAAAAGCCUUGGGAUCCUUGACAGCUGCUGCUCUAAUCUGCUGUCGGAAUAUCGGAUCAACAAUUAUCACAUGCCACUGUCUUUGUGGAGUAGUACCAAUUAAUGCCUUUGGGUUGAUGGUCCAGUCCCCUUCGCCUUAAUCUAAGCCAGAUUAUGCCUUCCAUAUUACUUAGACCCCUUCCCUCAAGGUUUCUUCGAGCGGCGUAAAUUGGGUGAUGAACUGAUGAGGACGUUGCUAGUUGGACACUUGGACGUGAUUCACUCCCGUUCCUCUGCCAACUGCAGAGUGCCGUUCAAACGGCGUUGAAAGGAGAGAAUUACCUUCAAAUUAUACUUCCUCCAUCUCAUAUUAAAUGACUCAAAUUUGCUUAAAUAUGAAUGUAUUUAUAGGUAAAAAGCGUCUAGAUACAUGUAAUAAAAAGUCACUUAAUAUGAAACGGAGGGAGUAAUAAACAUUAAGCAGGAAGACGUGGACAGAGAGGCACGGAAGAGAAACAUGUACACAAAUUUAUACCUCCACACCUCAGGGGAAUUAUACUUUAGUGAUGACAAUAUACUAAUUACUUGAAAUUAUAGGGAACCUGAUUAACACACAAGUCACAACCGUUUGGUCGUUCACACUCCUUACGGGUUAUCCUCCUCAUUGUCAUCUCUGCACCUACUUCUUCGCCCCCGAUCGAUCAUAGUGAAAAAAUCGUCAAUGGAUCACACUCGACCAAGCGAUGAAAUUUUGCUUGUUAGAUAUGGAUCAAGUAAAGUCGUCAUAUUUAGAACUAUUAGCGUUAUUUUGUAGUGCUCAUUUUGUAUAUAAAAAAAUGUCAUAGGACGAUGAGCGAACGUUGACAUGCCAUUUAGAACCAUUAAUGUUCGUCCGUAGCGCUCGUUCGGUACGAUGAGCGAACGUUGACCCGACAGAUUUAGAACCAUUAAUGUCCGUCCGUAGCGGUCGUUCAGUAAAACACGGCUUGAGGCCAGAUCGAACAUUCACUCGCUAAUUUUGGAAAUAUUAAUGUCGAUAUGUGAUUCUUAUCCGGCAAAACAUGGCCCGGAUCAAAUGUCUAUUUGCAGGUCGUUGAACAAUCAUGAAUGUUGAGUGACCGUCUUUUGGACGCAUUCUACAUCUAGACAAUAGAUGCAUCAUACUAAUAUAGCACCUUAAAUGUCAACGAGUUAAAAAAUACCACUUGGCAUGCUUCGGAUAUUGAUUAUUGCACUAUUUUUUUCAAAUUUAACCACAUACUCCAAUUUUUCAGAGUAUUUCAAUUGGUGCCCUCAGUUAUUUAUGUCAAAUUCAACGAGCGGUGGUAAUUAAGCGACGGACCACUGCCCAGGCAUCUUUAUUUCCGUGAAAUACGAUCUCUCCACCUCUUAAGCAAAUUACUCCAAAACUUGUGGCAACCAAAAGGUCCAAAACCACUACUAUGAACAUCUGUCAUAAUUUUUCUCCAAAACUUGUGGCAACCAAAACCAGGGCCCCGGCGCCCCGGCUGGUACCAUUGACCACCCAAUUUUGUGCAUUGACCAAAUUGACUAUUUAAGUACUGUACACGGUACGAGCACUGACAUCCCAGGGCCCCAGCAACAUAACCGCAUCCGGCACCCCCUUCCUUGCUUCGCAAACCGGACAAGCCAAAAUGAAGACCAGAACACAACAAAACCCGACCAUCUCUUCCCCACCCUUCUCCUUGGACCAAGGAAAGAAGCCGACCAUGGCAGACCCCCGUGACGAGUCCCCAGAAGCAGCCGCCACCGACGACGGCUUCGAGUUCCGUAUCCUAUCCACUGCAGGCGGCCUUCUCCCCUCUGGCGCGGGCGACAUGUGCGUGGCCGACGAGCUCUUCUCCCACGGCAAGCUCCUCCCGCUCCACCCCGCCCCCGAUUCCCCCACCCUCCCGCGGUCCGAUUCCGCCGCCGCCGCCGCCGGCCUAGGCUCGCGCUCCGACUCCGGCCGCCGCAGCGCGAGCUCCAGCGGCAGCAGCAGCAGCACCGGCUGCGUCAGCCGGAGCCACUCGUCCAAGAGCGCCGCCUCCGACGCCGUCCUCCAUGGCGCCGCCGCGGCGCCGCGGAGGUCGCUGGCGAGCAGCCUGUUCUACGCGCACCCGAGCCCGUCGCCGCAGCUGCGCAGCCGCAGCGCGCGGCCGCGCCGCAGCACGGGGUCCUCGGCCCCGCCGCCGCCAGCCGGCGCCGCGUGGGGCGGCUUCAAUUUCAUACGGCUCGGCGUCGUCGGGGCCCCCGAUGUGUACCCGCCGCGCCUAGCCGAUGCCAAGAUCACAGCGGCGUCGAGGGGCGGCAGCGGCAGGAGCGCGAGGUUCGAGCGGGCGGCCAGCGCCGUGGAGAAGAGCCUGAGGAAGCAUGGCGCGGGGCUGUUCGGCGACGGCUUCGGAUGUAGGUGCUCGCCCGACGUCGUCGUCGAGCCUGCAGGCUUGCCGGAGGCGGCGAAGAAGAGCGGAGAUGAUGGGGGCGUGAAGAAGAAAGGCCGCAGCGUCCGCCGUAUUAGGAUUUUAGACUGGCUCGAAGAGCUGUCCAUCACCAGGCAGAAGAAGUGAUCUUGUGCAAAGAUCCUUGGUCUCUCUCAGCCGUGUAUGAUCGAGGAAACAUUUAGAUUGAUUGCUUAGAUUUUUCUCGUUUGAUUAACCGGAAUUGCUGAAUUGAAAAAUAUAACUUCGUCUGUACAGAGUUGUCUAUGCUAUUGCUAGGAGGGAUCUGAUCAUUAGAUUUUUCUGGUUUGAUUAACGGGAAAUGCUCGAUUAGAAAAACAACUUGUUUGUACAGAUUAUAAACGGUGGUACAUUCCAUGGAGUUCCUCAUAUGACUCAUCGAUCUUCCGUUCCUGGAUCGUGCAAAUUCGCAAGGUACAUGUUCUAUUUCUCCGACCAGCAUGGCUGUACGAAUUUUCAUUCUGUCGUUAGUCCUUGUUUGCUGGAAUCUUACAAUUAAAAAAGAACUCCACGGAAUUCACCUCACAUGCGUGUAGUAGUACACCCAUACUAACCUGUCAGCUGGCUGUCAGUCGUGUUCAUAAAAAACGACCGAUCCGCACACGUACUACCCCCCCUGUCGAAUUCAUCUUCAACGAGCAAACUGUUUUGCUGCCACGACCUGCACCGACAACGAGCUAAGCUUGGCCGGGCGCUGAUGGCGAGGAUGCCAGGAAGCCCAGAAGCCCUCUGGCCAUCUCCAACGAGCCGCGACAGGCGUGACGCAGCGAGCUGGGAUCAAGCAGGCGACCCAUGGCCAUGGAACACGACGAAACCGGCCAGCGGCUUUCAUUCAAUUGCCGACCUUUCUCCUCGAUUACAGCGAAAAAUCGACUGUGGUUCCGCAUGAAUUUCCAGCGAAAUCACCGCCGUUUCAAAUAUGGCCACGACGGCGGGGAGGGGCUCCGGACCGUGCAGCAGCUAGCGAGUCCAGCGGCAUGAACCGGCUCGGGCGAGCGGUGGGUCUACGGUCCGCGUCUACGUUACGUCUAAUUCGUGUGCCGCUUUUCCCCCUGUCGUAUCGAUCCCGAGAGGAUUUCCUGACCGGGACGUGUGGGAGCGAGCCGCGAGGAGUCUCCUAGUCCUACAGGCGUAGCACAAUUGCGUGCGGUCGGUGGCGACGGCGACCCCUCUCAUCAUAAUCCGUUCCACGACGGCGACCACCCCCUUUCCAUUUCUCGCCGGGAACCUGAGCGAAAAGGACACCGCUGAGCCAGCCCGCGUGCUUUCGUGUGCCAGAGAGGUCGAAACGCUCCGCACUUUUGGCUGCACGCAUGACGCAUUGACGCGCCGUUCCUGGUGCCUUCCUCGAAUUCGAUUAAGAGCCCGCGCGUGGCUGUUUCUUCCGGUGGAGAAGUUAAUGAUUCGGUGAUCGUUGGAGCGGCACGGGAUUUUUCUUGUCUCCUUUUUCCGUUAGCUCGUCCAACCGCACCUAACCGGAUGUUUUACAGCUGCUCAAAACAAAAAACCCCGGAUGUUUUACAGCGGCACGGACGGGCGUGGCUUGAGACCUCCUGAAACGGUCGUUGCUUUCCGGCGCUGAAACUUGCAGAGGAAAAUAUAAAACGCUGCACUUUGCUUGCAAAGAUUCAGACUUUGGCAUGAAAUUCAAAACGGAUGUCCAAAUACGCACCUAGUUUCUCACCAGCAUACGAGAACUCGUACGUGGCGCCUUUGGUUUGCCUGGUACUGGAAGAAAAGCGAGGCUAAUCGAGUGAAACGCGCGGAAAACACACCAAAGAAAGGGGCACAAAGAAAAGUAGCUGGAAAAAAGUGGGGCACCAGCUCGUGAAAGGCAGAAUUUUUCGUAGCAGGACAAAGUUAAAAAGAAGUGCGUGCGAGUGAGCGUGUCUCCGAGAGCCUAUGAUGCGCACUGCACGCUGGAACAUAAAAACAAAGAGCUUAAUCAGGACAUCAUCUCGCGCAGCUACACGAGAAAGGCUGCGAUGCAUGUUUUGUCUGCCGCCGCUUGGUUCCAAUUCCCGAGGUGGAUAAAAGUGUUUACUAGGUCUAAUCGUUCCAUCCUAAUCAAAUCAUACUCUCCGUUGCUGCCGCUCCAGAGCUAGCGGAAUGUCUCAGCUGUCAGCACUCAUCAGUCUGUCAUCGUAAAUUUUUCGAUCCAAAUAAGUACAGCCCUUGACAAUGGGAAUCCAAUCCAUAUUAAGAUGCUUGCGAGUUGCAAUUCCUGGCACAGGGUUUGCAGCGUGUCCGUCUUUGGGCUAGCAGCAUCGAGAGCCGGUUUGUAAUCAGACGGUUCUGCGACAUGCGAGAGUCGCAGCUGAAAGUAUCGGCCCUGUAGGACUGCACGGCAGCCAAGUUUCAAACACGUGUAGUGAAACAAUCAUGUCGCGUUGUUGUGUCUGUGUGGGUGGGUGCAGGAUCAGACUCUUUUUUUCUUUUCUUUUUUGAGAACAGCAGGAUCAGACUCUCAAUCUGUCAGUUCGCUAGUUCAGACUUCAGAAUGUUUGGCUUUCGGGGGUUAGUUUACGCAAGAAAAUCAAUGAUUUGGGCCCAGGGUUGUUCUGGGCCUGGACGCAUGUAGGACAUGAUUUUUACGGGCCACGGAAGAUACAUCUCGGCCGAUUAACACGGAGCAGCCAAUGCCAAAACCAUACAGAUAGCAGCCCGGCAGCAGUCAGCUCCGGCCUUCGGGCACGUCGCAGUUAUUGGAGCCAGCCCAAUGAAGACGGGCAGCCCUUAUUUUCGUUUUUCUUGAUAUCGUUUUGUUUUGUUUUCAGUUUUUUUUUCUUGUCUAUCCAGUGAACUGUUUUAAAUUUUGACUUGAUCAAUAAAGUAAGAUUUAUUUUAAACAAAUAGUACGUUUUGAUCAGCUAACAAUAUACGUGUUGGAGAUGCGUUAAUCUGUCUUUUUUAUGUACAGGAUGCGUGUGAUCAUAUUUUUGCAACCAAAAUCUACGAGGAGACAUAUUACAGCAUGAUGUAUAUGAAUAAAAUCACAACUUGCACUGAUGAACAAUGCAUUUUACACACUAGAUUUUUUUUCUUUGGGUCGUAGACUACUUAUACUUCCGCAAAAAUAAGAAUAAACCUUAUACGCAAAAUGCAGGCCGGACUUUCUUUUUUGACACAAAACGCAGUACUAUCUAGUAUAUUGUGUACUUUGAUCAUUUUUUAUUGGCAUACGAUUCUUUUACCUUGUCAAUUCCUUGGAAAUACGAAGCAUUGUGUCUUACUUGCCUUUAUAGUGACCCAAAUUUGAGAAUGAUUGCCAAAUGUGCUCCUUUUUUUUGGUCAAAAAGCUUCGUUGGCGGUAAGCUUUUCGCUACCUGAUUCCAUUUUCCUCCUGAAAGGAAACAAGUUUUGCAGUAGCCACGGUAACCGGAGAAUACCAACAAUUUAUCGGACUAGAUUCUUUAAUCAUUUAUUUAUUGAUUGAUUGUGAAGAUGAUUGUGUAUUGCGCAUAUGUAAUUCUACAAGUAUGCAGUCAUAGUAUAUAGUGGUAUAGUGGAUGGUGCAAUCUCUCCUAAUUCACAGAUCAUGGGUUCAUUCAUGCUUAGAGUUCCAAUCAACCCAUUUCCGAGUGGACCCGGAAAGGUUGUUGCCAAGCAGUAACUUAAAAUACAGAUCGGUAACCCAAACGAAGAUUUGCGGGCGAUCAGAGGUCAACUCUAUGUUAGCUCUACGUACCCCUUCUUCAUGUUCUACGCCUUGUUGUAACACGCAUCACCUUGUGUUUGUUCGGAUCAAAAUAUAUGGGUAUAAGUGAUCUUGUGCAGUUGUGGUCAAGUCUGGAUGCAUUGCCAAGAAUGUGUUGCAAAACAUAUCCCCAAUAUAUAUCUUCCUCGCCUCUUUCCGCUCCCAGCCUUCCGCAAUGCUCCGCGGUCCAAAACAUACCCUUCUUCCUAACCCCGAGUGUCGCCUUACCCAGCUUUCUUCUCCAAAUAUGCCGAUCCUGUUCCAAUCAGAUUGGCAUUGGCAGCCCGGACAUCAGCACAGAAACAUAUUGUGAAGUCGGUAAUAAUCGUAUCUGCAAGUGCUAAGUAAAAAGAAACAUGUGAUUUGCUGAGAGUUGCAAGUAUAGGAGAUUGUCCGGCUUGCGGAGAAAAUAAAGUAUUCCCUCCUAUCCAUAAUAAGUGUCCCACUGUGCUUAAUCUGAAACACUUAUUAUGAAUCAGAGGAAGUAGUAAGUGAUCAACAAAUGAAAAAAAAUCAUUGUGUUUACUUUUUUUUUUAAGAAGAAACAAUCCAUUAGCUCGCCAAAGAUAACAGGUUACAGGGUACAUCACACUGAGCAACAACCGAUACAGGGACAGACCCCUUAGCAGAUCAGUCGUUUUCGACAAUCUAGCAUACUGAGCAAUAACAUGAGCUAACGAGUUGCCCUCCCGGCACACCCAACUAAUUAAGAAGCCAUUACAGGACACCAAAGCUCUCCUAAUCUCCUGAAGCAAGAAGCAAGAGGAAGAUCUGUCUACUGAGUUGGAGUUCAGGUUGUUGACAAGCUGCUGGCAAUUGGAUUCCAGAUGCAGAUUGACCCCCGGCUGCAUGCAGAGGGUCUCAAUUCCAAGCAGGUAGGCGGCAGUUUCAGCUUCGUUGGGGUAUGAGCAGUUUACGAUCUGUCCCCAAGCGGAUGCGACAAUCUCCCCAUUACAAGUUCUGAGCACGCCACCCCACCAGGCCUCCUUGGAGUGUUCAGAAAAGCUCGCAUCCAUGUUGAGCUUCUGCAAGUUAGGGGCCGGAGGGCGCCAUAUGCCCUGCGCUGCAGACUGGAUAGCAGGAGAGCAAACCGAUUGAGUCAGAAGAUCCGGAUCAGCUACAGACUGAGCUACAGUUGAGCUGUUACACAGGUUCAGGCUAUUGUAUAUAGCAGCGUCGCCCCCCUUGAGAUUCUCAUGCGCACGGGCAUAGCCGCAUAUGAACCGGGCCGAUUCCUCAAUACUGGCACUGCCCUUGUUGAACAACACAUCGUUUCUGUGGUGCCAAGCACGCCACCACAAGAACAACAGGUGCUGACGAGUGCUUGGGGACACCGAAUCAAGCAACACCAGAACCCAGUCCUCCCCAUUCUGCUUCAGUAAGUUUUCAGGAGGGAUCUUCCAGUCUCAUACGCUGGCGGAGGUCCCGGGCCUUGGGGCAUGCCAUCACAGCGUGGUAGCCUGUCUCAUCACCCAUACCACAAAUCUCACAGGUGGGUUUGGUAUUUUUGAUGCGCUUGCACCUGUUAGCCUGGACUGCCAGCGAGCUUGUGGUGAGCUUCCAUGCAAAAACGCGCACUUUCGGAGGAACAUUACACCUCCAGAUCACAUCCCAAAUCUUGCGAUUUCCGUCAGGGCUAGAGCUUGAGCUGCCAUUCCCCUCCCCCAUUGAUAGGUCUAGAGCCAGCAUGUAGGCAGAUUUCACCGUGAACAUGCCCAGUUUAUCAGGGAACCAAGCCAAGACAUCAUCAUGUUGGUUCACAGGUAGCUUCAAUUGGGCGAUCAUAUCAGCAUCGUGGGGGUAAAAGAUACGGCGGAUGAGCGGCUCAUUCCAAGUGCCAGAGUCCUGGUUAAUGAGAUCAGAGACUCGCCUUAAUCGAGAGUUCCCCAUUCUGCCCGAUGGACGCAGGUUUCCUCUAGGAAGCCAGUUGUGGCGCCAUAUGUCCACCGUGUAUCCGUUUCCAAUCCGUCAAAAAUAUCCUUUCUUCAGGAGCUUGAGACAGUGGGUGAUACCUUGCCAAACCGGCGAAGCAGAUUGGAUGAAUGUCGUAUCCAGUAAAUUGCCAUUAGGAUAGUAUUUGGACUUGAUCAGCCGGGCACCAAGACUGUCUGGUUUAUCAAGGAGGCGCCAUGCCUACUUUGCUAACAGAGCUUGAUUGAACAGUGCCAUAUCUCGAAAACCCAUACCUCCUUUGUUUUUUGGCCGAAUCAAUUUAUCCCAAGCGAUCCAGUGUAUUUUUCUUCUGUUAUGCUCAUCCCCCCACCAAAAGUCUCUAGUAAUGUGUUCCAACUCCUCACAAAGUCAUUUAGAAAAUUUAAAAACACUCAUUGCGUACGUGGGCAGAGAUUGAAUUACCGACUUGAUCAGUACUUCGUUGCCGCCGGCUAAGAGAUAUUUCUCGGACCAGUCAUUAAGUCUCUUCCUUGCCUUAUCUUUAACAGAUUGGAACCAAUCAUUCUUCAUGCGUCCCUCUGGGACUGGGAGUCCGAGAUAUUUUUCCUCGAAUGCCAUAUUGGACACAUUCAGCACGGCAGCGACAGCAGCUCCUUUGACCUGUGGCACAUUUUUUCCUAGGAGAAUUGAACAUUUUGAAGGGCUGAGGAGUUGACCAGUACAAGAUUCAUAACCGUUGAGGAUCCUUUUUAUAAUUAGAGCUUGGUCAUGUCUUGCUUGAAAGAACAAAAGGCUGUCAUCACCAAAUAAGAGGUGCGAUAUGCCCAGCCCACGACGAGCAAUAUUUAGCACACUUAGGUUACCAUUUUCAAUUUCUUUCCCAAACAAACAUGAUAAGCCGUCGGCCACAAAAAGGAAUAAGAAAGGGGGAAAGGGGGUCUCCCUGUCUUAGUCCUCUCGUCGGGCGAAAGCUUUCCAAAAUAUGGCCAUUCACCUUCACAGCAUACCUGACAGAGCGUACGCAUGACAUGAUCCAGUUAACCCAUUUGACAUCGGACCCAAAUUUACAUAGGGCAGCUUCAAGAUAUCCCCAAUCAACACGAUCAUAGGCUUAGCUUACAAGCACAAAACUUGCCGGUGUUUUCUCCAUGUUGAAGUGCAUGGAUGCAUUCGAAGUCAAUGAUCGCAUUAUCCGUAAUCAUUCUCCCUGGGACAAAGGCACUCUGGGAAUCCGAAAUUAAAACAUUCAACAGCGGACGGAGGCGGUUGGCCAGGCACUUCGUCACAACCUUGUAGAUCACAUUGCAUAAACUAAUCGGGCGGAAAUCCUUUAGGUACAAAGGGUUCUUGAUCUUGGGGAUGAGCACAAUAACUGUAUCGUUAACUCCAUCGGGCAUGGCACCUGUAACAAAAAAAUUCCUCACCGCACGGAUAAUAUCCUUCUUCACCGUGGCCCAGUGACGCUGGAAGAAACGCGCCGGGAAACCAUCCGGCCCUGGGGCUUUGAGGGGCCCAAUUUGGAAGAGGGCGUCGCUAAUUUCUUUGUCCGUAAAUUCUUUGCACAGGUCUUGAUUCAUGUGCCCGUCCACCUUAGCCGUAAUACAGUCAAUAAGAGGGCCAGGCUGUACGUUGUCAUCUCUGAUGAAGAGCUCUCUGAAGUACACAGUGGCCAUCUCCUCGAUCUCAGUCGUGUCCACAGCAACAGACCCAUCAACUCUAGUCAGCUUAGUAAUCUUGUUCUUUUUAACUCUCCAGGUGGCUUUGCGAUGGAAAAAAGCCGUGUUGCGGUCUCCCGCGCGGAUCCAGUCCCCCCGAGAGCGAUGAUGCCACUUAACCUCAUCUUUCCCAAGCAGUUCGUCCAGUUCAGCCGAUAAAGCCUUGUAUCUCCUUCGGCCUUGACCAUUCCGGCGUUGCACCAACUUCUGCAUUUGAGCUCUCUUCUUGUCGAUCAUUUUUCCGAUAGCGCCAAUGGUGGCUCCGCUCCACACAUGCAGAUGCCUCAUAGUCCCGUUCAGAGUAGCCGUAAUAGCACCCAAAUCGCCACCAGCACACUGCUGUUCCCAGGCUUUCCCCACUUCAGUCUUCACGCUCCCAGUAGGCCUCGUAUCUUCUAGCAACCGAGCGGCGGCCAGUAGCAGUUUUCUUCUGCAAAGAUAACAAAAGUGGACAGUGGUCCGAUCUGGGAGAAACCAGGUGUUGAACUGCAUACUCCGGGAACAUGGCAGACCAGGCAGGAUUGGCAACUGCCCUGUCUAGAUGCACCCGAAUAUUCCUGUACCCAUCUUGUUUAUUGUUAAAAGUCCAAUCAGCACCCACAUACCCCAGGUCAUGAAGGUCAUAGUGGGAUAGCACCUCCCUAAAAUCCAACAUCUGCUUUUCUCCUCUCAAAUUCCAUGAGAUGUGUUCAUGCUGCCACAAAAUUUCAUUAAAAUCCCCAAUUACCAUUCAAGGUUCGGUUCUCAUGGGGAAGAUUCUUCUCAGAAGCUCCCACAUAUGGUGACAGAGGUGUUUGCGAGGUUCUCCAUAAAUGAAAGUACCUCUCCAUUUUAUUCCAUUUGACUCACUGAUUAUUACAUCGAUUAAGCGAUUAUUGAGCAAAAGUAAAUCUGCUUGCACACUUUCAUCCGAGAACAAAGCGAGGCCACCCCCUUUUCCUUCCCCGGGCACCGCGAUCAUAUGCUUGAGCCCCAGCCGCCACCUCAAGCCCUCGAUCACAGAAGUUUUAUUGCGAGUUUCUGAGAGGAACACGAUCUUCGGUUUGUGAGUCUUGACCAGAUGGAGAAGCUCUUGAACUGUCCGGGGUUGGCCGAUCCCCCGGCAGUUCCAGCACAAGAGAUUCAUUUUUCCUGACAAGCGCUGUCGCUCGCACCCGUCAGUUUGCCAGUGGCCCUGGGACUGGUCGCCUCCAAUUGCUUCUCCGAAUUCCCAUCGCCCUCAGGCGCUGCCGCUUGUCCCUUCCCCUCGAACUUGCCCUUCUUGCUCUCCUGUGAUGCCUCCUUGCCAACCGGAUACACAACACUGCUCCUUUUGCCCAGCACCUGGCCUACAUCUUUCGGAGUCUGGCUUGCCUUCCUUCCAGCCGAUCUGCUCUUGUACUUCUUCAGCUGUGUGUUCUUGUUUGCGGCAGCCACAGGAGCAGUAGCCCCGCCAGCGACCGACUUCGGACCUGCUUCUUUUCGUGCCUUUCUGAUCGCAAUUCUCACCUCUGCUCACCCAGAGACAUCAGCAUCAGUAGGCUCCACCCCUGGUUUCGCCCCUCCCUGACUUGAAGCCUCCUUCUUGUCACCGAUGUCAACACCCACACUGAGUUUGCUAACUCCAUCUACAGCCUGGAUCAUAGCUGCCAUCAGAUGGUCCGGCACGGGAAUAUUGCGUCGAGGGGACCCAUUUCUGCCCGAGGCCCUCAUGUCCUUGUUGGACAUUUCCAAACUCAGCUUCCUCGCAGGCGGCGUAUAGUACAGCUGCUUCUUGGUCUUCAGGUCUUCACCCGGCAGGUAGGAGCUCCGCCUAUCAUAUAUCUUGUAUGGAGAGGCAGACUGUCCCACGCUGAAGCGAACCACCUUUUCUUCCUCCGGCAUCACGCAUGCCCGGUAAUCAUGACCGACGAUACCACAGUAAAAGCAGAAGCGGCGGAGGCGUUCAUACUUGACCUCAUACCUCUUCGGGUACUUGACCUUCUUUCCCUGGAUCCUCACCACAGGCUCAAUGGGCUUAUUGAUAUCAUGCUCAAUCCUGACACGGAGAAACUCAUCCCAUGCCUUGCCGCCUUUAUCCGUGAAGACCAUCCUCACCGGCGCAAUGAGCUCCCCAAUCUCUCUGCCCAUCAGAACAUUCAUCAUUGGAGGCGGCAGGUCAAAGAUCCUCACCCACACCGGCAUCGUGUUGAUCUUCAUCUCAGCCACAGACGACUCCCCGUCGUAGGCAGGACGAGGAGGACGUCCCCAAGGUAAUUCCAAGGGCCACCCGCCAGCACAUAUAGGUAGUCCCCCUCUUGCUUGAACUCGAUCAGAAACUUACUUCCUGCCAGAUCCUUGUACUCCACGCCUCCUCAAAGCUGCUAGAUCUCGCGCAUGCGUCGAAAGAGCCUCCCAGAGCUGAAGGUGCUGGUGGUGACGUAGCGCGCUACCACAAUCCACUGGCUUCCCAUCUCAAGCUUCAGUUUGUCAAGGUCCACCACAAGGACCUUGGCCGGGUUUGCAUCCCUAGGUCUGCGCUCAGGCGUCUCGUUGGCAAAGACGGCAUCGACAACCGCCAGAUGCUGCAUGUCUUCCUCCUCCACAUGCUCCUUGCCUUUGCGACGGACAAACUCAGAUCCAGUCACACUGCCCUGGCUCUCACCGUUCACCUUAACACCGCCUGCCAUGCCGUUGGGCCAGGGAGGAUCUGGCGGCCUGAGAGGAUUGCUUGGGGGGUGGAUCUGUUGAAGGCGGAGGAUGAGACGGUGUGAAGAGAGGAGUACCUGUGAUCGCUAUACAUAUGGGGGCAGGCGUGAUUCCCACGAGAUUAACUCCAUGGCUUCCAUGUUUGAUGCGAUCACAUAUCCCGUGAUGGCUUCCUUCCUCAUGAUCUUCGAAUCCGGUGCAGAACUGCAUAUGGCAAGAACCUCCCCAAUUACCGGCGGCUCCCGUACGCCCGGCCCUGGGGGCAGCGGGCAUGGUGGGAUUUUCGGCGAGGAAGGUUCCGUCGCGUGCUUGGGUGAGGGGGCCCCCCCAUCCAUACGGCCGGCCGGGAUCUUCUGAGAACUGUGUUGGAGAUAUGCCCUAGAGGCAAUCAUGUGAUGAUGUUAUUUCCUAUGUAUUCAUGAGUUAUUGUUAUUGUCCUUGAACAUCAUCACUGAUAUGUAUCAAUAAAUACGUGAUUUGUUUGUGAGACUAUGUAUUCUAUGAUGAUUGUUCUAAUGGUCCCUGGUCAUUGAGGUUAUGCAGACACAUAACCUAGACUAGCAAUGUGAAUCAGUAUGAUGACUAUGUUUCACAAGUCAUAGGGCAAGGUGUUGCCGAUUGAUAGCAUGGACUCGACAAUGAGAUUGUUGAGUCGGACAGACCCGCACUGAGACACAACGAGAUGACUGUCAUUUGUUAGUCUCAAUUACGAUGUAUAUGCCAUUCCUAGAUCUGAGGUCAUCGCAUGAGCUUGUGAUGUGAAUCGGCCUACUUAGGGAUUGCCAAACGCUACUCCGUAACUGGGUGGUUAUAAAGGUAGCUUUCGGGUUUGCUGAGAAGCAUGCUGCGAGUCAUGGUUGAUCAAGAUGGGAUUUGCCCCUCCUGUUCAGAGAGAUAUCUCUGGGCCCUCUCGAGUGAUAAGAUUCGGAAAGCAUGGCCAUGCGACUUGGGUUAAGUGUUAACCCGUUCGGAAAUCUGUAUCACAGGAACGAGAAGAGAGUCAAGCUAUCCACAAGGAUGACAAGCACUCGCUUUGAGCUCGACACACAUAUCGUGAGGCAAAAGGAAUGUUGCAUAUGACACAUUGUAUGGUUCGUCAAUAUACUUUGUGGUUACUUGGGAGUUGGCACGUGCUGCUAGGCGCCGCUACCAACUAUCGACUUGAGUCGGUGCCAGUGGACGAGUAAGGUGUUACUCGGGCCCGCAGUCCGAGCUCGUAAUCGUGUCUGACUGCCCGCGAACCUGAAGGGUCACACGCUUAAGGGGUGGGAACCGAGUUGGAUCGGAUUCAACUCGUAUCGAGCUUAGACUCCUAACGGGUCUCAAGUGUUGAGCCCACUAGGGACGUCUAUGUAAGCGGAGGAGACCAACCCGUCUAGGGUUACACCAGUCCAGACGCGAGUUAGACUCGGCCGUCACACCUCCAUGCCCAAAGCCUUGCGAUCGGAUCUAGCAGUCCGCCGCACGGAGUUCCUCCCUGUACGUGUGGAUACCUCGGAGGCGCUGCACCUGUGGCGCUUGGACGAACUGUUCGUGGGAUCGGCGAGGAGGAGCAGGCUGUUCGACUACUCGGCAUCGACGCGCUACAUCGACUCUACUUCCGCUACGGGUCUGCGCGUCUAGUGGUAAUCUCGUGAUCCAUUAUCUACAGCAUUGAUCCGGGCGGAAGCGGUAGAAAUUUUAUUUUGUGCUAGCGUAGCAUACCGCGUUCCCCAACAAACUGAUCCACUCAAUCAUCUUUGCUCGUAAUUCCGCAAUCUUUGGGAGGAGAUCUUCCCGGAUCGGAAACAACGUUUAGAUCCCCUCCUUUCAUGGCCCGGGCGUGAGCCUCCCGGACACAUCGGCGAAAGCUUUCCUUAGAGAGAGCCAGAACCGGGAUUUCACCCCCGGUAGCAUUCAUAGCCAUCACUGGCGCGGCCAGCGUCGGAGACGGCGCUAGGGGCGGCCUAGGGGUGGUACAUCUCCGCCCACUUUUUAAUCCAACUAAUGAAGCGCCUUUUGGAGAAAUUUUAAAAAAAAAUCAUUGUGUUUACAUGCCUUGUAAAUAGUGGAAGUGCCAAGUGUUUCACAAGAUACAAGAAAAGGUUUUAUGGCAGUGAGAAGGGGACCGAGGAGGAUGUCACACCGUUAUCAUAUAUCACAUUUAAAGACACAUAUGAAAAUAAAGAUCUGGCCUACAUAUUUGAGUGUGAUAAUAAAGGAUCCUAAGGUUCUUCUUUCUGUUCCUUCUUUCUAACACCUGUGUUUGAGAGAGAUCAAUCAUCAUCAUUACAAUGAUCAAGCUGAUCAAUUCUCUGCAAACGAAUCAGCUAGGUAGUAAGAGCUAAUUUGAACUACAUGGACGAUCUUUCAUAUCAUGAAGAUGCACAGAAAACCAACCAACCCUAAAUCACAUAUCCAUGGAAGCAAGCUAGCUCUGGCUACACUAGAGCACCCACUCACCUUGUGAACGAACCGCAUGCCAUGCCCACAGCUGGCCGGCACUCAAGACGGUGCCCACGCGGAGGCGAAAACAACGUUGUGCCCCUUCCAAGUGAGCAAGAGAUCAUCGUCCUCCCGCUUCAUCCCCCACCCGGCGGCAUGCUCGUUCAGCAUCGUCCUCACCUCCCCAGCAGCCUCCUCGCCGAUCCCCACGGCUCGGAACCCGGCGCCCCGCAUCCUCUGCCCCCACCUGGCCCGGCCUUCCUGCCGCUCCACCCGGGCCACGCCUUCCUGCGCCAGCACGUUCUCCACCUUCCACCCGACCUCCGCCUCGUACCACCGCCGCUGCGCGCUCCCUUGCUUGGGCAGGAACGUGUCCACGGCGUCGUAGGGGAUCCACAGGAAGUUGAACGCCGCCCGCAGCCGCCCCACCACGUCGCACGCCGUGAAGUCGGCGUCUUCUUCCGCUAUCACCACCAGGGCUGGGUCAAGGCUCCGUAGGGACUUGAGCAGCAUGGUCCGGAGCGACACCGGCUGCUGCUGCUGCGGAAGAAGGCCUGCGGUGAGUGUCGACAUCACGGACCCGGCCGUCUCGUCGGGCACGGCGUGGAGCAGCAUGUGGCAGUUGAUUACGAGAGCUUCGCUGCAGCUGCUGGAGUCGGACACCAGCAGCUGCUGCAUGCGGAGCGUGUCGAGUAAGGAAGCGAAGGCGUCGGCGGGGGACGUGCGCACCACACGGAAGUCCAUGGACACGUUCCGUGACCGCGCGAAGGACACCAGCUUGGCUCCCAGCUCCUCGUAGGACGUGUCGAGCACCGGCGGCGGCGAAGAAGAAGAAGAAGAGCUAGAAUUAGAGGAGACGUCGGCGACGGUGAGCCGUAGGAUGGGCGGGCCCUCGGCGCGGGAGGCGAGCAAGUCGAUGAGCGUGGGGAUCUGCAUGCAGUGCGUGGUGCUGAGGUCCACGACGUGCACCACGGGGAACCCUUCCGCUGCCUCCAGGAUGGCCGCGUUGGCAGCCAUGUACCCGAACCGGUGCCACGGUGUCAGGUCCACGAAGCCCGCCAGCUCGACGGCCGUGAACCGGUGCACGUCCUCGACGGCCACGGCGGCCGCCACGGCGGCGGUGACCGCCUUGCAGGCGCCCGUCCUGGAGGCGCGGGACACGAGCGCGCAGAGGAAGGCCGCCGUGAGCCGCUGGGUGGAGUCGCCGUCGGCGGGGGCGAUGUUGUUGAGCACCCACAGGAUCUGCUGCGUCAGCGUGGCGUCGUUGGCCUCGAUGGCGCUCGCGCAGUGCACCAGCAGCUGCUCCAUGCACCCCGCGCUGUUGAGGUUCCCCAGCGAGAUCUUGCUGCUGGCCGUCGUUGGCGUCGUCGUCCCGGGCCACGGCCGCGGCGUGCCCACGUCGAGGAGGAGGCCUAGCCCUAGUCCAUGGGCGGCGUUGUUGGGGACGUGGUGGCCGUGGUGGUGGUGGUGGUGGUGGAGAGGCGGUGCGGUUACUGCGGCAUGGGUGAACUGCAUCAUGUAGGGGGGGCAAAACCGGGGUGGGAGGGUACAAAUUCGCGACGACGAAGCAGGCAGCUAGCUAGUGAUUGAUUAGAAAAGAGCAAGGAGGGCAGAGCGAGUACACGUCGGGCAGUUUGAGGAGCGGAUUUGGUGCUUGUACGAAGCAUAUAUAGAGGGCUGUGCGGCGCACUUAAUUGCUUUCCUUUGCUGCUAGUCGGAGCUGCACAGCUACAACUCAACUACACGUGCUUUCCAAUUGGAGCUUAUUUGGGAGCGCCAAUCGAUGGGGGGCAAACCAGUUGAGGGGGAGAAUGGAGAAUUCGAUUCAUCAUAAAGUACAAGGAAUAUUUCAGCCACCGGGAGCAGACGAUGGAACUGAUCAAGGCCGGCUAUUUGUAGUUAGCUAGAAAUGAUCUAGGGCUGGAAGAAACGGCAAGAAAACUAAAUCUUUGUUUUAUACACCAUCCAUCAAGGAGAGGGAUCGAGAUCUAGCUAAGCUAUUGUAUGCAACUAGGAGGAAUCAAGAUGAACAAUUAGCACAUGCACAUAGUACGUAUAUAUAGCGCUAGCUAGGUGGUUUGAAUUCAAGGGUGAAGCUGCGGAAAUUUGUGCAUAUGCCGAUCUGAGAGAGCUUACUAGAGGAAUUGGGUAGCAGUAUCAAGGAAGACGGAAAGGGAGAGCUACGGGAAGGGGGAGAAGAGUUACCGGCCGGGUCACAAAGUCGCUAAUUGUAGACGGAAUUUUGUAGUGGUUUGUUGGAUUGUUCUGGAUGGACAGCUUUGUAUUGGUCAAUGGAGUAAAUUACACAAAGGCACAUCUUCAAGGGAUGAGUUAAAAGAGAACUAUUACAACUCAAGGGAUUUUAACAAAAAAAUGUGGUUUUUCUCUUGAGAAGUCGUUUGUUUUUUAGUUAGAGAUAAGUCGAUAUGUUUGAUCUUAAUCCAACGAUAGCAAGUGAGAGAUGAGAAAAUGGGGAUGGCACUCAGAUUUUAAUCCAACGGUUCUAAAACAUCGACUCAGAUUUAAGGUUCAUUUCUUAAAAAUCAGACGACUUAGCAAUAUCCACGCCCAAAAAAAAUUUAAUUACAUAUAUUUAAUCUUGCAGAUCACAACUGUCUUACACAAGACUUAACACAUUUGUGUUUAUGGCCGAACCAUCAAUUUCGAAAGAAGUCAAAGUAGCAUGUAUGUGGCAGGUGGUGGGACCAACUAGGUGAAUGGUAAUUUUGCAUAUGUAUGAGUUUUUUUGUUACUCAUUAAUCUUGAAGUAUGGUUUUUGUUAAAAUCCCAUUGAAUUGUAGUUUCUUGUCGAACCAAAGGGGGCCUUCAUGCAAUUCACUCCAGUUUAUAUGGCACUUAUUUUGGCCGAAUCAUCAAUUUCGAAAGAAGUCAAAGUAGCCUAUGCUAUGUGGGACCAACAAGAUAAAUGAUAAAUUUGUACAUGUAUGAGUUUUUUUUGUUACUCGUUAAUUUUGAAGUAUGGUUUUUGUUAAAAUCCCAUAGAAUUGGAGUUUUUCUUGUCACCGAAGGUGGGUCUUCAUGCAAUUUACUCUAGUCUAUAUAGCGAUAUACUCCACUAGUUAAGUACUCCACCUUCCAAAAGUAGACUCACAAUAGUUAUCAGAAUUACAUGUCACAAUAGUUGACAAGUAACUAGCACACGCACUUCACAUGGUAAAUGUCACGUAAUAUAUCUGCAAAAAAAUUGUCAAGUACUCCCUCCGAUCUAUAAUAAGUGACGCUGACUUAGUAGUACUAGAAUUGUACAAAAAUUGUCAUGGACUAUUAUUUUCCAGAGGAUUUGAAUGGUGUCGUACAAAAAUUACUGUAACUAUUUUUUUUUUGUGUGUGUGAGAGAGAGAUCACGGGCCAUAUCAUGAUGAAAUGAUUUGGUCAGUUCGGGAUUGGGUCCCACAUGGGACAAGCCAGAAUUAGUUAAGGUCCGUUCUAUAUCUAAUAUUCUCAUUGUUUGCAAAGCAGAAAACGACUCUUUGUUUUGAUUUGAACUCAGACGUCCAAACUGCUUAAAACUAUUCGACAGAAGAAUUCCAUAGGCCAGGGAUGCUAACCACAUUGAUAGAUGACAGUUGUGUCUGCAUGUGUAUAUAUAUAGUCCCACCUUGAGAAUUCUUAAUUUGCUCUUGCAGGAAUAUGGUGGCAUAUUUCUCUGAGCAGUUCUGAGAGCUAGUUAUCGCAGGAACCGUAUGUCAUACCAGUCCACUGAUACUAACUCAAUCUAAUGUCAGUAGUUUUGGUGUGGUGUCGUUUUAAAUUAACUUGUUGCUGCAAACUACUCCAUCCGUCCAACAAUAGGAGGCAUAUUAGGGUUUGGUUGACCAAUCUUUUGAUCACAAAUUACUUCAUGAAUAUGUGACUAAUGUGAUCAAAAUCAUAACCAUAAACAAAUAUCCUUGAGUAGGAAUAUUAUGGAUAUGAAUCUAUGUCAUAUAAUUAUAUAUUAAUAGAGUAAUAUGUGGUCAAAACAUUAGUCAAAGGAAAUCUAAUAUGUUCCCUAUUGUUGGACGAGGCAGUACUAACCAGACUAUGGCUGCACCCUUAUCUCUGGCCCACUGCAGAUUUGCUGUUGUAGUGGCAGAAGAU
RNAcentral lists this long non-coding RNA (25945 nucleotides) under Brachypodium distachyon (stiff brome). Its description in RNAcentral is "long non-coding RNA (BDIS_LNC000321)". Lineage: Eukaryota; Viridiplantae; Streptophyta; Magnoliopsida; Poales; Poaceae. The record is from RNAcentral.